ACCCAGCGAUUCCCGUAAUCAUGUGUGGAUGUCCCGCUGGGGCUGACUUCAAAUGCGGCGUACUCAAAUGCAGAGCGUGCUACACUCCCUGGGUCUUCUGAGCCUCGAAAGGCUGAAAGCUUGGAGGCAGAUGUGUCUUUCUUGUUUAGAGAUGCGUCGAGUGUUUUCUUUCCUCCUCGGCCUUGCUGAUGGAGUGUAUGCAGUCCAGACCACAAGCUACAGAUUUGGGAACGUGACGUUGGAAGAGGUUCCAAGCACUUCCUUCUGAGAUCAAGUUUCCUCCUGUCAGAAGGUACGUGAAGUCGGCGUGAGACAGACGGAUACGGCAUCGUGCAGUGAGACAGCGUGAGACAGACGGACACGGCAUCGUGCAGUGAGACAGCGCGAGACAGACGGACACGGCAUCGUGCAGUGAGACAGCGCGAGACAGACGGACACGGCAUCGUGCAGUGAGACAGCGCGAGACAGACGGACACGGCAUCGUGCAGUGAGACAGCGUGAGACAGACGGACACGGCAUCGUGCAGUGAGACAGCGUGAGACAGACGGACACGGCAUCGUGCAGUGAGACAGCGUGAGACAGACGGACACGGCAUCGUGCAGUGAGACAGCGUGAGACAGACGGACACGGCAUCGUGCAGUGAGACAGCGUGAGACAGACGGACACGGCAUCGUGCAGUGAGACAGCGUGAGACAGACGGAUACAGCAUUAGUUUUGUUCCACCUCCAACACUUCCAACCCGUGUGCUGUGGAGAACGUCACUCUUGCAUUCAAACAAUGCAAAAAAAAAUAAUAUUAUCCAAACAACACCAGACAGACACUGCUGAGUCCUCUUCACUCAUCUCAGAACUCAGGCUAGUAGGGAACUUUAGUUUAGUUUAGCUUAGGAUGGUCUUGUUUACAGUAGGUUGCUA
Non-coding RNA from Electrophorus electricus (electric eel), 914 nucleotides. The record is from RefSeq and is a predicted model, not a curated record. Lineage: Eukaryota; Metazoa; Chordata; Actinopteri; Gymnotiformes; Gymnotidae.